Molecule: transfer RNA, 73 nt
Filed under: Rubrobacter sp.
Lineage: Bacteria; Bacillati; Actinomycetota; Rubrobacteria; Rubrobacterales; Rubrobacteraceae
Also listed under: 1 other name
Description: tRNA-Ala
Rfam family: tRNA
About the family: Transfer RNA (tRNA) molecules are approximately 80 nucleotides in length. Their secondary structure includes four short double-helical elements and three loops (D, anti-codon, and T loops).
Source: RNAcentral
GGGGCCGUAGCUCAGUUGGGAGAGCGCCGCCCUUGCACGGCGGAGGUCAGGGGUUCGAACCCCCUCGGCUCCA